Molecule: ribosomal RNA, 646 nt
Filed under: uncultured bacterium
Lineage: Bacteria
Description: bacterial SSU rRNA
Rfam family: Bacterial small subunit ribosomal RNA
Source: RNAcentral
GGCGAGUAAAGCAGCGAUGCGCUUAGGGAUGGGCCUGCGGCGGAUUAGGUAGUUGGUGGGGUAACGGCCUACCAAGCCGAUGAUCCGUAGGGGGCGUGAGAGCGUGGCCCCCCACACUGGCACUGAGACACGGGCCAGACUCCUACGGGAGGCAGCAGUGAGGAAUAUUGCACAAUGGGCGCAAGCCUGAUGCAGCAACGCCGCGUGAGGGACGAAGGCCUUCGGGUUGUAAACCUCUUUUCUGAGGGACGAGGAAGGACGGUACCUCAGGAAUAAGUCUCGGCUAACUACGUGCCAGCAGCCGCGGUAAAACGUAGGAGGCGAGCGUUAUCCGGAUUUACUGGGCGUAAAGCGCGCGCAGGUGGCUUCGUGAGUCGGACAUGAAAGCUCCUGGCUUAACUGGGAGAGGCUGUUCGAUACUGCGGGGCUUGAGGUUGGGAGAGGGACGCGGAAUUCCCGGUGUAGUGGUGGAAUGCGUAGAUAUCGGGAGGAACACCAGUGGCGCAAGCGGCGUCCUGGCCCACACCUGACGCUGAGGUGCGAAAGCGUGGGUAGCAAACAGGAUUAGAUACCCUGGUAGUCCACGCUGUAAACGAUGUCAACUGGGUGUCGGUAGUUUUACACUAUCGGUGCCGAAGCUAACGCG